Molecule: ribosomal RNA, 571 nt
Filed under: uncultured bacterium
Lineage: Bacteria
Description: partial 16S ribosomal RNA
Rfam family: Bacterial small subunit ribosomal RNA
Source: RNAcentral
UGGGGAAUAUUGCACAAUGGGCGCAAGCCUGAUGCAGCAACGCCGCGUGAGGGAUGACGGCCUUCGGGUUGUAAACCUCUUUUAGCAGGGAAGAAGCGAAAAGUGACGGUACCUGCAGAAAAAGCGCCGGCUAACUACGUGCCAGCAGCCGCGGUAAUACGUAGGGCGCAAGCGUUAUCCGGAAUUAUUGGGCGUAAAGAGCUCGUAGGCGGUUUGUCGCGUCUGCUGUGAAAAUCCCCGAGGCUCAACCUCGGGUCUGCAGUGGGUACGGGCAGACUAGAGUGCGGUAGGGGAGAUUGGAAUUCCUGGUGUAGCGGUGGAAUGCGCAGAUAUCAGGAGGAACACCGAUGGCGAAGGCAGAUCUCUGGGCCGUAACUGACGCUGAGGAGCGAAAGGGUGGGGAGCAAAACAGGCUUAGAUACCCUGGUAGUCCACCCGUAAACGUUGGGAACUAGUUGUGGGGUCCAUUCCACGGAUUCCGUGACGCAGCUAACGCAUUAAGUUCCCCGCCUGGGGAGUACGGCCGCAAGGCUAAAACUUAAAUGAAUUGACGGGGUCAUAGCUGUUUCCU